Trichonephila inaurata madagascariensis is the source of this 73-nucleotide non-coding RNA. The record is from the annotation of a GenBank genome assembly. Lineage: Eukaryota; Metazoa; Arthropoda; Arachnida; Araneae; Nephilidae.
GUCCCUAAAGUGCAAUGGAUAGUGCAUUGGACUUCUAAUCCAAGGAUUGUAGGUUUGAAUCCUACCUGGGAUG